GUUCCUUGCAAAGUUCAAUCCAUUCGAUUGCGGCUUUAAACAGUAAAGUGUGUCCUUUCUCGGAACCAGCGUCGGCUAAUGUGGACAUAACGUUCAUUAAAUCGGAGAAUCCGUUGCCCUCAAUCGUUGGAGAAAGAAUGUGAUAAGCUAAUGGUAUGAGAGCACGAAGAAUCGUAACAGGUACACCUUCAUCGACGCUGUUUUUCUCUUUAACUAUAUAAUUUGUAAGUGCUCGUAAAAGCCGACUAUUUUCAUGCAUCGAAUGUUGCUGUUGAAGCUGUUGUUGUUGCUGUUGUUGAUCAUCAGUGAUACUUGUCGAUUGGUUAUUGCUAGCUGAAUCGUUUGAUAGCGAAAUUAACCAUCGAUCUUGUUCAUUAUUCGGUACAUUAGCAACCUCGUCCGAUUUCGGGGCAUCUUCGGUUGUAUUAGCAACGGCAACCAACGCAUUUGUAGUUACCAUCGUUGGUGUUUGUACGUUCGUCAACGAUGCAUUUGGAGAAAUACUCGUUGCUCCUAAAAUAAUUUGUUUCAACCAUAUUUGCAACUUUUCUGGCUCUACAUGGGCCAAAUUCGACACGGAUCCACAAAGACGUUCUAAUGACCCGUCACUGCCUUUCUCAGCUGUUUUGAACAAUGUGUUGAAAAAUCUUAAGACGUGGGUGGCAAAUUGUUGUGAAGACUGUGAAGAUGUUAUACAUAACAAUACAGAAACAAGAGAUCGAUUGAAUUGCAUACACAUGGUGCACAAACGCACGCGCAUAAAUAUAUUAUUAUCGCACCUUUUUUAAGCUUAAGUAAACGAUUAAUUUAGAUCUCUUUUCUUCAAUUAGACGAUCAUUUAUUUAUACGCUAUGUUUAACAGUAAUUAUUAUAUUUAUGAACUAGAAGGAUAAACAACAAAUCACGAACGCAUAACAAAAUAUUGCUCGCGCUUUACAGGCAAUGUACAAGGAUGUCGUCGUAUUAAAACUUUAUAAAUACGAAAAAUAGCAGAAUAUUAAAGCUGUACGAUAUUACUAUCAUUGCAGGCGUAUAAGUUCGUAGGUUUUCUCGUGCUACCCAUAACUAAAGCUUCGUGGUACUCGACAAAAGUUUUCUUUGACAACGUUUACCGUGUAUCGAUGUUAUUUGUUACUAAAAUACCAGAUUUCUAAAAUUCGGAUUUACAUUGAUAAAUACAAACGUAGUACAUUAACUUUUGUUCCUUAGAUUUUAUAAUUCUAAGUCUUUGUAAUCAUAUAUGGAAAUUUAACAUAAUUGAAACGAUUUCAUACAAUCUUUGAUCAAUAGCUGAAUAUUCGCUUACCAAAAUUUGACUACUGGCAGUAUUGUUGGAAGUACGUCGAUUGAAAGAAGCUAAUAAUAAGAACGUCCUAAUGACAUUUUCUUUAUAUUUUUAUCAACUUGGUACUCGUUGUCAAUAUACUCAUUGAGUCACUCGAUCAUAGGCAAUUAAAAGCUAUUUUCGAUUCAUAAUAUUGCUUUUUUCACCUCAACUUUUUCAAUUACAAAUGACAAAUUUACGAUAUUAUUUACUACGUAUCUAAGAACAAAAAAAAAAACAGUAAUCUUGUUGGUAUAUUUAAUUUUCUUGAACACUAUGAUUUUAUUUGAUGAUAACUACUUUCGCUCAAGCAAAAAUAAAAAUAUCAAAUAAAUCGUAACAUCUAGAAAAUUAAAGAAAGAGUUUUAACGAUUACUGUUAAUUUUUGUUUGCAUAGAGAUAAAAUCAAAUAAAAUCUCCGUAUAUCGUAGCAGAUAUAUAUUCACGUAUAGAUCGUGAUGUA
Molecule: unclassified non-coding RNA, 1787 nt
Filed under: Bombus terrestris (buff-tailed bumblebee)
Lineage: Eukaryota; Metazoa; Arthropoda; Insecta; Hymenoptera; Apidae
Description: misc RNA ENSBTSG00005035742.1
Source: RNAcentral